Long non-coding RNA from Gopherus flavomarginatus (Mexican gopher tortoise), 699 nucleotides. RefSeq lists it as uncharacterized. The transcript has 6 exons. The record is from RefSeq and is a predicted model, not a curated record. Lineage: Eukaryota; Metazoa; Chordata; Testudines; Testudinidae.
UGGGAUGGGACCCAGCCAGGUGAUGAGAAGGGGGGACACUGGUGGGCCCUGGGUUGACAGCGGCCGGAGCAGGGGGGAUGCCAGGAGGUCUGGCCCGGGUAUGAGGGGCCCCGAGGCCGGCGGCGGCCAGAGCAGGGGGGAUGCCGGGAGGUCUGGCCCGGGUAUGAGGGGCCCCGGGGCCGGCGGCGGCCCGGGCAGGGGGGAUGCCGGGAGGUCUGGCCCGGGCAUGAGGGGCCCCGGGGCCGGCGGCGGCCGGGGCAGGGGGGAUGCCGGGAGGUCUGGCCCGGGUAUGAGGGGCCCCGGGGCCGGCGGCGGCCCGGGCAGGGGGGAUGCCGGGAGGUCUGGCCCGGGUAUGAGGGGCCCCGGGGCCGGCGGCGGCCCGGGCAGGGGGGAUGCCGGGAGGUCUGGCCCGGGCAUGAGGGGCCCCGGGGCCGGCGGCGGCCGGGGCAGGGGGGAUGCCGGGAGGUCUGGCCCGGGUAUGAGGGGCCCCGGGGCCGGCGGCGGCCCGGGCAGGGGGGAUGCCGGGAGGUCUGGCCCGGGUAUGAGGGGGCCCCGGGGCCGGCGGCGGCCCGGGCAGGGGGAUGCCGGGAGGUCUGGCCCGGGCAUGAGGGGCCCCGGGGCUGGCGGCGGCCCGGGCAGGGGGGAUGCCGGGAGGUCUGGCCCGGGUAUGAGGGGCCCCGGGGCCGGCGGGGGGCCGGC